This 253-nucleotide ribosomal RNA is filed under the name uncultured bacterium. Its description in RNAcentral is "partial 16S ribosomal RNA". It matches the Rfam family "Bacterial small subunit ribosomal RNA", at positions 524 to 776 of the family's 1533-position model. The record is from RNAcentral.
UACGUAGGGGGCAAGCGUUGUCCGGAUUUAUUGGGCGUAAAGAGCGUGUAGGCGGCCAGACAGGUCCGUUGUGAAAACUGGAGGCUCAACUUCCAGACGUCGACAGAAACCGCUUGGCUAGAGUCCGGAAGAGGAGAGUGGAAUUCCUGGUGUAGCGGUGAAAUGCGCAGAUAUCAGGAAGAACACCGAUGGCGAAGGCAGCGCUCUGGGACGGUACUGACGCUGAGACGCGAAAGCGUGGGGAGCGAACAGG